UUCUGAAAAGACCCCGGUGAGGUGUUUUUCAGCCCUAGCUAUACAUUGGAAUCAACUGGCAAACUUUGAAAAAAUCACAAAGCCUAUGCCACAACCCAGAGGUUCUGAGGUGCAGCCAGAGUAUAGAACCUGUAAUCUAGGUAAUGGCUCUCACUGGAAAACAGCUGUGGCACUGGUAUAGGAGCAAUGAGGGGCUCACGCAGAACUCCCUGUGUGGGCUCACCUGGCCUUCCAAAGGCCCAGCCUGACCACUUGGGACCAAAGUGACCCUUACUAUUAAAGGCUUCUAACAUUCACAGAAAGAAAGUACGUCAAGGGUGUGUGAAAUCAUGACAGAAGCUCCUCCUCCUAGGAACUAUCACAGGAAAUUACCCUUUAUACCUAAGAAUAAAGACCGAAUAGAGAGAAGCCAGCUCUAUCCACAACCAACAGAUGGCGCUAUUGUCCAAUGCCCUGCCAUUUAGGUCUCUGCCAACCACUUACUCCUUAAUACUUGGUAAUUUGCUGCAUUUGUGCAUGAUUUUGAAAUGUUCUAGAAACAUUUUUGACUCCACAUAUCUGAGAAGUGCAAAAGUAGCAAUAAUAUUAAAAGUGUUACUUAAAA
RNAcentral lists this long non-coding RNA (604 nucleotides) under Homo sapiens (human). RNAcentral describes it as "non-protein coding lnc-HAO2-2:7". The record is from RNAcentral. Lineage: Eukaryota; Metazoa; Chordata; Mammalia; Primates; Hominidae.